Nelumbo nucifera (sacred lotus) is the source of this 5122-nucleotide non-coding RNA. The record is from RefSeq and is a predicted model, not a curated record. NCBI's taxonomy places the organism in Eukaryota, Viridiplantae, Streptophyta, Magnoliopsida, Proteales, Nelumbonaceae.
UUUAGUUUGAAGCUGUUGUUUUGUCUUUUCCGGUUCCUUAAGCCUCUCCUUCUCUGGUGUCCCUUUUCCUUUUGCUCUCUCACUCCUUUCCCUUUCCCUUUCCUGUCUCAUUGAUGCUUUAAACGAUGCCUUCCAACAAAUGCUUCAUGGCAACGGUCCGGUUGAAGUAGCUGACAUCCAGCAUCUCAUCCCUCCAGAUGCCCACCAACAAUGGCAUCUCUCUUUAAUCUGUCGUUUAUUCCUGCGUCUAACCGAUCAGUUUGAUGAAGUUGUUCAAGGGUUGUAUGAUCUUUGGAAUCUUGAUGAUGAAAGUUUACUCCUAGCUCCUUUCCAUAGGGGUCACUUUCAUCUUAACUUUCGCUAUAGGGCAGAUUAUGACAGAAUUCUAAAUAAUGGGCUUUGGACCCUCAAUGGUCAAUGGAUUCUCAUGCAGCCUUGGUUUUCCUCUCGGUUGCCAUAGUUACCCCUCUCUUUGAGUGUAUAGGGCCAGCCAAAUUUGUCACUGUAAAUCAAAACUUUAUCAGAACAAAAGUCACCCUCUCAGUUUUGCAGCCUCUUAAAACAGGCUAUUUUGUCAGUGUCACAAAUUGGAUCACCUACCGUUAUGACGAUCUGCCUUGGACCUGUUAUAUCUGUGGAAAAAUAGGUCACAUGUUUCGUCGUUGUUCUCAACCUUUACCCCAAACAGGAGGAAGGUCUUUUGACCAAUACUUCAGUAGAUGCAGCAUGAUUCAUCCAGGGCCAUGGCUUCGAGCAGAGCUGGCUCUGAGACAUUCUUGGAAAAGAUCAUCCCUAUGCAACCACCUUAACAUCCUGUUCAGCGUAAUCAGGGUACUUCCAAUCAGCAGGAACCUUUGAGUCAUGCCCUUACUCUUGCUACCUUACCUGCUCCCACGAUUUCUGUUCCUUCCAUGCCUUCCUCUUCUGUUGGGCCUCUCCGUGUGUCAGCAAGCACUUAUCACCUCACUGAGGACACCCAACUACUCCUGAACCGGGUCCUAGAUGAUCCUGCGAAACCCUCUUCCUCUCAUGGUAAAAGACCCCAGUUGGAUUUACUGGCAAAUCUAGAAAUUGCUUCUUCCCCUGACAUACCAACCUAUGAUAGACCUGACAACUGCCUAGCUGUAAUAGAGGAGCACACUAUUCAUGUGAAUCAGAUAAAUUCUAAGGCUCUGUCCGGGAUUUGGAAGAUAAUGACUCGGAGGUAUAGCCGUUCUUUGGAAAUCAGGUUUUUGUGUUUCUGUGUAUAGAGCUUCUGAUAGGAAAGAUUUCGGAUUCAUUAUAUACUGAUGAGGAGUAAGUUGGCCCGACCUAGCAACCGAGGUACACGUGGACGCGGUCAGUCACUAGGAUGACAACUCAGCAAGGGAGCCUCGCCAACAUCCCGGUUGCUCGGGAGCUUGAGCACCUUGGCAUAAAGGCACAUCGGCACCUAAUUUAGUUCGGGGCCAAAGAGCUGAAGUGUUAGUUUGGGGCUAAAGAACCGAAGCGCCACGAAAUCGACUCCAGAAGCUUCUCUAACGUACUCCGAAUUCCCCGGGAUCAUGAUGUUUAUUAACAAGGCUCAUCUUCACUCCGCCCAAAUCGGAGGGAAUUGAUAAACCUUAUCAACUGGCACAUAGCUCUCUUUCGGAAACAGAACGGAUCUUACCUAUACAGCCCAGAGAUCCCGGAGCUUUUUCGUAAGAUUCAUGACUACUCAGCUAUAUAAGGGCAUCAAUCCUCAAAGCGAAGCUCGCCACGUGACUAGGGCCCAGGUCAUCUUCCAGCUACGAAUAUCCAGAUCGUUCAUUAUCAAUUGGCGUCGUCUAUGGGAACCGAUCAAAAGGUCAUCACAAUCUCGGUUGAAAUUUUAGCUUUCGAUCUAUCUAAAUGGAUUCUUCCAGCAACACUGGGAAAAGCAUUGAGAUGAACAUCACCGAGGUGCAAGAUCAGCAAUCAACCUUCCCCCAAGGCCCCACGAUAUGCAUCGACCAGUUUACUAUUCCCCUCACGGCUUCAGGGGUCCCGUUACUAUCCGUACCACAGGGCACCAUGCAAGUGAGCGUCCCGCUUCCCCUAGUGGAAGUAACUUUCUCUGAGCCAUUCGUGGUCCCCCCUGGAAUUGAGUACUCCUAAUUCCAUAACUUCGUCCAAUGCAUCCAAACGAUACAGAUCCAGAUGCAACAGGUCCAACAACUUCAAUAAUAUCAGCAGUACUACAUGUACCAGCAGUAUCAGCAGCAGUUCCCACCACUGAGCCGAACCAGUAGCCAGUUCCACCCAGGCACCCAGGGUUGCGCCAGGACCAGAACCAGAACCGGCGUGGAACUAGUCAGGAUGUCCACCGAUCCCCCCAUCGGGGUGAGGGGACCUUGUAGGUGCCGGUCCCUCCCAGGGGUCAGGCUUCACCUCGUGGGAGGAGAGACGGUCAGCACACCCCUCCAGUCUCACAAGGAAAUUUUAGAAAUACGCCCAAGGAUAGUCAGCUCAACAGGGCCAACCCGCCACAACACUCCCAGCAGGAAAACAACGAAUCGCGAGGAGAUAACAACCAGCCCAAAGCUCGAGGUGCGAACUCGAGGCCAAACCCUUCAAUGCCUCGUGAUAGCCGGUGCGAACUCCAGGAGAAUUUGGCAAGAAGGAACCAAGAUCCACAUCACGACAAUGUCCAUAAUGAUGUCGAGAUACCAGAUCAGACCAAGGUCAGUAGCACCAACAUUGAGCCGGUGAAGAAGCAACAAUGGCGACGCCGCAAGAUGUGUUUCUCCUCGGCCAAAAAUAGUCUGCCAGCGAAGCCAAGUCAACAAGUAGAGCAAGCUAAAGAAAGGGAAGAAGUGAGCUCGGUGACAAUGAAGACUGCACCUCCCUUGCUUAGCCGGUCAUCUCCCCUGUCUCUCGAGCUCCUAGCAACCCCAAUGCCGAAAGACUUCAAGGUACCCCCAUUAGAUAAGUAUGACGAGUCGUUUGACACCAACGAUCACGUGGAUUCUUUCCAGUGUCAAAUGCACUUCGCCGGGGCUGACGAAUCCUGCAUGUGUAUGGCCUUCUCCACCACGUUCAGGGGGGUAGACCGAACCUGGUAUAGGAACCUCGCGCCAAGCUCCAUCAAAAGCUAGACGCAGUUUGUCGACCUGUUCAUGCGCCAUUUCAUUACCAGCAAGAAAUGCCCGAAGUCACAUGAAAGCCUUCUGAAUGUGGUUUAGAGGGAAGGAGAAUCAAUCAGAAGCUAUAUUAAGCGCUUCAACGAUACUUGCCUGCAGAUAUCAAACCUCGAUCCAACGGUGUGACUCACUGUAGAAAAAAAAGGAAUCACUCACAAAGAGUUCAAGUGGCAUGUGGUAGCCAACAAACCAAAAGAUAUCACCGAGUUCCUUAAGUUGGAAGACUAGUUCAUCGGUACCGAGGAGGAGAUUAACCAGAAGACUGACAAUCCACCGGUGGAAAAGAGGAAGAAAGAGAAUGAAGGGACGAGCAAUGAUGGGCAGGAAAGAAAGAAGAGCAAGUCCCUGAGCAGAGGAAGAAGCAAGUCCCCUUCGCACGGGCACAAGUCAAGUUGGUGUUCCAGGACUCCGCCCGUAGAGAGAACAAAUUAUACACCCUUGAAUGCUAACCGAGGAGAGAUCUUAAUGGCUAUUAAGGAAUCCUCCUUCAUCAAAUGGCCUCCCAGAAUAAGGGGAGACCCGGCAACAAGAAAUCUGAAUGUCAACUACCAUUUCCACCGAUAUCAUGGACACAAUACUUAAAAUUGCAAAAAUCUCCAUGAUGAGAUUGAAAAACUUAUCUGUCGCGGGUACCUAAAGAAUUACAUCUUGCGAGAAGAGAGGGGGCAGGCAAACCGACAGGGGGAUCGUCAGGGGACCAGAGGAGGAAUGUCCCUGAGACUAGUAGGCAGAAUGAGCAGCCACCUCGGCAAUUGCCAGAGGAGAGGCCAAUUAGCAGAGUGAUCAAUAUGACCACCGAUGGGUCCAUCAUUGUGGGAUGUACAUCAGCAACUGGGUGGACCUCAGUUUGCGAAUUGGAGAAUAAAAGCAAAAACCCACCAAAGCGAUCCUACGACUCUUGUGAAAACUGGUCGCACUCCCUUCGAGGAAUAAUUUCGGUGGAGAGCAGUUUUUGGCAUCCACAAAGUUUAUAAACCACAUCUAGUCCGUGCGUUCCCGACACCCGAUCUGGUUUUUUCCACUGAGACACAUGGGUUACGUUGGUUCGACCAAAAAAAUCGGGAGGUGAACCAAAAAGUCGGGCCAACCUGCUUGUGCUGACCGUAAACUCCUCGCAUCGGGGUUGCGACCCUUGGCACGAGGAGUGGGGGGAAAUUUAUGAGGAGUAAGUUGGCCCGACCUAGCAACAAGGUACAUGUGGACGCGGUCAGUUACUAGGAUGACAACUCAGUAAGGGAGCCUCGCCAGCAGCCCGGGAGCUCAGGAUCUUGAGAACCUCAGCAUACGGUCAUCUCAACAUAGAGGCACCUUGGCACCUAAUUUAGUUCGGGGCCAAAGAAUCGAAGCGCCAUGAAAUCAACUCCAUAAGCUUCUCCAACGGACUCCGUAUUCCUUGGGAUCACGACGUUUAUUAACAAGGCUCAUCCUCACUCCACCCGAAUCGGAGGGAAUUGAUAAACCUUAUCAACUGGCACAUUGCUCUCCUUCGGAAAUGGAACGGAUCUUAUCUAUACAACCCAGAGAUCCCAAACCUUUUUCAUAAGAUUCAUGACUACUCAGCUAUAUAAGGGCAUCGAUCCUCAAAGCAAAGGGAAAUGACAUCGAGGAGGAGAAGUAUUGCAAAUUUUUAAAUGGACAAUUCCUAUAGUUACUUGAGAUGAAGCCAAGUCAAUGAGGAACAAUGUAAUAAAUCUAGAAAACCACAUUGAAAAACUAGAGAAGUUGGUUGUUAAAGGAUUGAAGGCUCUGAAGCCUUCUCAGUAGUUAUUUACCAAAUGACUCAAAACUAUGCAGAUUUUGUCAAUUAAUUUUAUGAUUGUGUUUGUAUUUGUCUUGUAUAUGUACAUGAAUUAGUAUUUAGGUGUAAGAACUAAUUACUAGUAUUUAGGUGCAUGAAUUGACACCUAUGUUUUGGUAAAUUUGAUUUUCGAAUGUAAUGUGUUAUGGAUAUGUUGUAAAAUAGGAGUUAAAAUGCCUUC